This 497-nucleotide ribosomal RNA is filed under the name uncultured bacterium. RNAcentral's name for it is "partial 16S ribosomal RNA". It matches the Rfam family "Bacterial small subunit ribosomal RNA", at positions 28 to 507 of the family's 1533-position model. The record is from RNAcentral.
GAUGAACGCUGGCGGCGUGCCUAAUACAUGCAAGUCGAGCGAACAGACGAGGAGCUUGCUCCUCUGACGUUAGCGGCGGACGGGUGAGUAACACGUGGAUAACCUACCUCUAAGACUGGGAUAACUUCGGGAAACCGGAGCUAAUACCGGAUAAUAUAUUGAACCGCAUGGUUCAAUAGUGAAAGACGGUUUUGCUGUCACUUAUAGAUGGAUCCGCGCCGCAUUAGCUAGUUGGUAAGGUAACGGCUUACCAAGGCAACGAUGCGUAGCCGACCUGAGAGGGUGAUCGGCCACACUGGAACUGGGACACGGUCCAGACUCCUACGGGAGGCAGCAGUAGGGAAUCUUCCGCAAUGGGCGAAAGCCUGACGGAGCAACGCCGCGUGAGUGAUGAAGGUCUUCGGAUCGUAAAACUCUGUUAUUAGGGAAGAACAAAUGUGUAAGUAACUAUGCACGUCUUGACGGUACCUAAUCAGAAAGCCACGGCUAACUACGUG